AAGCAGUGGUGUGGUUUACUUUAUUCUUACUAGCGAUAGGAGGGAUCUAUCUUGCUGUUACCCAAUCAUGGUGCUAAUCCUCAAUUGCUUGC
Molecule: transfer RNA, 92 nt
Filed under: Fictibacillus barbaricus
Lineage: Bacteria; Bacillati; Bacillota; Bacilli; Caryophanales; Fictibacillaceae
Description: tRNA-Ala
Source: RNAcentral